Molecule: unclassified non-coding RNA, 449 nt
Filed under: Gorteria gracilis
Lineage: Eukaryota; Viridiplantae; Streptophyta; Magnoliopsida; Asterales; Asteraceae
Description: Hirpicium gracile partial miscellaneous RNA
Source: RNAcentral
UUGGUUUGUUACGGGUGGUUGGAUGUCUUCUAGCGAAGCAACGUCCAUGCGUACUUUCCUCUUCAUUUAUGUAGCAAGGCUUGUUUUGUUUUGCUCGUAUUUGGGUUUGCUGUAUUGCGUACCUAAUCAAAGGCAUUGUGUGGACCGAUCAGAGAUGUUUUCGGCAUGCAUCACAAUUGCGGUGUGUGACGGACAAGGAAGUGGACUUUGUAACCCAUCUCGCGUUGUUAUCACUUCGACGAUGUGGCUUGCUAAGUUCUGCUUGGUCUCUUGGAUACUGAACCUGAUGUGGGCAUGGGAUCCUAAACAAUCCUUUUUUGCCCUCGUUUAGCGUUCUCGCUUCUCUAAAACGAUCACUCGUCAUGUGUUGGCAUGUCCUUGCAUGGUGGGUUGCAUCGAAGAGGAAUGCUACCUGGUUGAUCCUGCCAGUAGUCAUAUGCUUGUCUCAA